UUUCGGGCCACACCCGGGGCAUAUGGAGGUUCUCAGGCUAGGGGUCCAGUCGGAGCUGGAGCGGCCGGCCUACGCCACAGCAACGCAGGAUCCGGGCCGCGUCGGUGACCUACACCACAGGUCACGGCAAGGCCAGAUCCUCAACCCACUGAGUGAGGCCAGGGAUCGAACCCGCAACCUCAUGGUUCCUCGUUGGAUUUGUUUCCUCUGCAAAAAUUCUCAUGAAAUACAUCGUACCACAUCUUGUAACUAAAGAAAAGCUUAGCAAUAGAGUUGAAAAUAAAAUUUUAUUUUUGACAAGAGUAACAUAAAAGAUCAGUUUUCCAUGCUUCAAAGAGAAAAAAAAAGGCCUUCAGCAGCUCUGGCUUCUCUCUCCCUACACUUCCCAGCCUCACGUUUCUUGUUCACUUUCUUUACGUCCGCAGGGAGCUACUAAACAGGCAGCCUUGGCACAGAUGCCAAGCAGGGCCGAGCCAGGACCAGGGGCCACCGGGCACAGGCACACAGCCCAGGCGGCUCUGCCCUGGGAGAACCCCGAGGACUCUAAAACGGCACAGACGAACUUGUGCCUGCUCCACUCUGUACAAAUCCUUUCACGUGGGCCCUGGGGAGAAUUUAAGAGCUGAGAGCAGAAAGGCUGGACCUUAACCCACAGAAAGGCGGCUUGAAAACCUUGAAAUUGACUUAACUAAACAUGUAACUUGCAGCUUCUCAGGUAACCAUCACCAACCCAUGUGCCGACCCUGCACCGGGCUUGUGCGCAGGCCUCUGGCUCUUGCGGGCUCCGCAGCACUCAGCUCGCUGUUCUUCGGAAACAAAGUCACCAAAAGGACCGACUCCCGAGAAGCCCCGGGACCCAGCGAGUCUUCGUGUGCGUGUGCGCGCGGCUCCCGCCCGCGUGCUCAGUGCUGUCUUCACUAUUGAACAGGCAUCUCGCUUGUUCCCGCAGUAACAGACGUUUCUACCUAAAAGUUAUAUAAAUCUAAGUGUCUAGUUUCUUAUUUUCUCUUUGGCAGCUACUGUUGCUUGGACAGUCUUCACUCUCCCCCUUUUAAUAGGAAAAAAAACCCUGACGAAGAGGCCCUGUCACCUGGGAGUGGGGCAGGCCAGGUACCCCACCCUCAGCUGGUCCCUGAGGUGGUGGCUGUCGGUCCCCCGAGGACACCUUCGCCUCUGGAGCAGUUACCCAGUGGGGCGCGGGGCCCGCACGCCCACGUGGUUCUUUGGGGGUCUUGGCGGUUGGCUCCAGAGGUCCCGCGUGGCUUUCCCUAACGUUCCUCGUGGCUUCGGAGGGCACUGUGGUUCCAGAGGCUGCUUUUCAAGCUGCAGGUUGUGUUGGUUUUAAAGAUUUCAAGACCCCCCAGCAUCAUCUGUUUGAACAAAAAGCAACACCAAAACACUCAUUAACGCUGAUGCCAAACAAGUAUUUGCAAUGGGGUUUCCAAUUCAGAAACUGAUUAGGGUUUUCUUAUGUGCCAAAGACCCUGAGACACCUCCACGAUGGAAUUGGUGGCCGCUGUCGAGAAACGGCGCUGUGAGUUACAAGUACCACUGGGGACAGAGGAAAUUACGGGACGUUAGAUUUGCAAAGCGCUGGCCAUCCUGACCCCUGAAUGUGGGUGCUUUUCCCCUUAGCGGACGGGGGAGGGGCAGGGUCCGCACACCUGCAGCGGGAGCCUGGGGACCGGGAGAAGCGGGCGGUUCAGGGGUGGCCUCAGGUGGGGCCGGGCUGCUCCGCCCCGCAGCCCGAGGGCCUGGCCAGCAGCACUGGGGACAGAGACACACCGGUCUCUCUCCCCCUCGAGCAGAACAGGACAAAGCUCUGUGUAAGGGACCAGAGGGCUUCCUCUGCAGAGACGGGCUGCCCAGGGAGGUGGCUGCUGGUGUGGGUGCCAGCACCCACAGCACCCCGAGGACCCCAGAGGCUGGCCUGCCCACUGCUCCGGGCCAGGUCCACCGGCAGGAGGCUCUGCUGAUGGCACAGACCGCGAGGCCACGCAGAGGUCGCCCCCAGGCAGAAGAGCUGUGGUGGCAGCAGCAGCAGCGACCACACCACGGACAGAGGACCGUCGGCGGCACCUGCCUCCUUAACCACAGCAGCGAGGUGUCCUGGGGACAGGAGGGAAGCCAGAGACUAGAGGAAAGGAACCCUCGUCUGGAAGGGAGCAACCCAAAGAACCCAGCUUCACUGAGUUACGGAUGAACUCCUGGCUGAAUUCACAGUCCAGGUAUCUGCUCUAAGACUUCCAAGAAUUUUAUCCAAAAUACUCUCAACAUGGAAAUCUCCCUCUAAAGACAGGUUCCUUCAAGUUGUAAAAUCUAAGGGAGCGGGAAGUU
RNAcentral lists this long non-coding RNA (2337 nucleotides) under Sus scrofa (pig). Its description in RNAcentral is "lncRNA (ENSSSCG00040060725.1)". Lineage: Eukaryota; Metazoa; Chordata; Mammalia; Artiodactyla; Suidae. The record is from RNAcentral.